RNAcentral lists this ribosomal RNA (500 nucleotides) under Sporosarcina sp. CL3.94. RNAcentral describes it as "bacterial SSU rRNA". It matches the Rfam family "Bacterial small subunit ribosomal RNA", at positions 20 to 498 of the family's 1533-position model. The record is from RNAcentral. RNAcentral also lists the same sequence under 1 other name. Lineage: Bacteria; Bacillati; Bacillota; Bacilli; Caryophanales; Caryophanaceae.
UGGCUCAGGACGAACGCUGGCGGCGUGCCUAAUACAUGCAAGUCGAGCGGAAUGAUGAAGAAGCUUGCUUCUUCUGAUUUUAGCGGCGGACGGGUGAGUAACACGUGGGCAACCUACCUUGUAGAUUGGGAUAACUCCGGGAAACCGGGGCUAAUACCGAAUAAUCCAUUUUGCUUCAUGGCAAGAUGUUGAAAGGCGGCUUCGGCUGUCACUACGAGAUGGGCCCGCGGCGUAUUAGCUAGUUGGUAGGGUAAUGGCCUACCAAGGCGACGAUACGUAGCCGACCUGAGAGGGUGAUCGGCCACACUGGGACUGAGACACGGCCCAGACUCCUACGGGAGGCAGCAGUAGGGAAUCUUCCACAAUGGACGAAAGUCUGAUGGAGCAACGCCGCGUGAGUGAAGAAGGUUUUCGGAUCGUAAAACUCUGUUGUAAGGGAAGAACACGUACGAGAGUAACUGCUCGUACCUUGACCGGUACCUUAUUAGAAAGCCACGGCU